Mandrillus leucophaeus (drill) is the source of this 423-nucleotide long non-coding RNA. RefSeq lists it as uncharacterized. The record is from RefSeq and is a predicted model, not a curated record. NCBI's taxonomy places the organism in Eukaryota, Metazoa, Chordata, Mammalia, Primates, Cercopithecidae. The transcript has 2 exons.
AGGCCACAAGCAUGCAGGAAGCGUGUUGGAGUCACAGAUUGCCAGACCUGGCUGUGAAGUUGCAUUUUUCAACUAAGAAGUAGAAGGUCCAGGUGCCCUUGAUGAUUAACCAGGCCCAGCGUUGAUGUGUACCAGAAAGUUUGGAAAACAGGUCCAAGUGGUAGAGAUAAAAAUCUACUGCAGUUGAAUUCGUUGAUAAGCCCAGGACAUGCCUCAGGGACGUGGCAUUUAUCCAUUUGCUCCAAUCUCUUUCCCAGCAAUCACUUAACAUUUGGGGGAGUUGGAGGAUAGCUGGGAGUAGGCAUGCAACAGCUUGUAAGGAGGGAGAGGCCUGUGGACUGUGGACUGGACAGGGUGUCCACUCUUUAAAUCCAGCCUUGGCAGUCUGCAAAAAUAAAUUCAAAAAUGUUCUUUGUUGUCUUA